AUACGGAGGAUGCAAGCGUUAUCCGGAUUUAUUGGGUUUAAAGGGUGCGUAGGCGGAUGAUUAAGCGUGAGGUGAAAUGCCACUGCUCAACAGUGGAACUGCCUCGCGAACUGGUUGUCUUGAAUGCUCCUGCAGUGGGAGGAAUGUGUGGUGUAGCGGUGAAAUGCAUAGAGAUCACACAGAACACCGAUUGCGAAGGCAUCUCACGAAGGGGUGAUUGACGCUGAGGCACGAAAGCGUGGGGAUCAAACAGGAUUAGAUACCCUGGUAGUCCACGCAGUAAACGAUGAUAACUAACCGCUGGGUCGUAGUGAUUCAGUGGCCAAGCGAAAGCGAUAAGUUAUCCACCUGGGGAGUACGACCGCAAGGUUGAAAC
Molecule: ribosomal RNA, 376 nt
Filed under: uncultured bacterium
Lineage: Bacteria
Description: partial 16S ribosomal RNA
Rfam family: Bacterial small subunit ribosomal RNA
Source: RNAcentral